CACGUAGGGCGCAAGCGUUGUCCGGAAUUAUUGGGCGUAAAGAGCUCGUAGGCGGUCUGUUGCGUCCGCUGUGAAAACUCGGGGCUUAACCCCGAGCCUGCAGUGGAUACGGGCAGACUAGAGGUAGGUAGGGGAGAAUGGAAUUCCCGGUGUAGCGGUGAAAUGCGCAGAUAUCGGGAGGAACACCGGUGGCGAAGGCAGCGUCCUGGCCGAGCACUGACGCUCAGGCACGAAAGCGCGGGGAGCAAACAGG
This 253-nucleotide ribosomal RNA is filed under the name uncultured bacterium. RNAcentral's name for it is "partial 16S ribosomal RNA". It matches the Rfam family "Bacterial small subunit ribosomal RNA", at positions 524 to 776 of the family's 1533-position model. The record is from RNAcentral.